Molecule: ribosomal RNA, 394 nt
Filed under: Lottia cf. borealis 17-15.3_Soh
Lineage: Eukaryota; Metazoa; Mollusca; Gastropoda; Lottiidae
Description: partial large subunit ribosomal RNA
Source: RNAcentral
AAGGUAGCGUAAUCAAUAGCCUAUUAAUUGUUGGCCUGUAUGAACGGUACGACRCUGGUGGCGCUGUCUCAACUGCAUUAGUUUGAAUUUAACUUCUGGGUGAAAAGGCCCAGAUAGCUUUGAAAGACGAUUAGACCCUGUCGAACUUUAGGUAGAUUAGUUGUCAAUUACCAAGAGUAUUGUUUGUCUACUGUUAAACCUUUGGUUGGGGUAACCGGGGGCUAAAAAAAACGCCCCCCUCCAUUGAAAGUUAGCACCCGUUUUUGAUAAAGGUAAAAGAGACUUUACCUUCAGGGCAAUUGGCCUUCAGGAAAGUAAUUAUUUUAUUGAUUGAAAAAGUCUGACAAGACAUAGUUUACUUAUAAAAUGAACCUAAAGAACUGAGUAACAGUUA